UAAGGAAUAUUGGUCAAUGGACGCAAGUCUGAACCAGCCAUGCCGCGUGAAGGAUGAAGGUCCUCUGGAUUGUAAACUUCUUUUAUCUGGGACGAAAACGGGAUUUUUAUCUCAAUUGACGGUACCAGUGGAAUAAGCACCGGCUAACUCCGUGCCAGCAGCCGCGGUAAUACGGAGGGUGCGAGCGUUAUCCGGAUUUACUGGGUUUAAAGGGUGCGUAGGUGGGCAGGUAAGUCAGUGGUGAAAUCUCCGGGCUUAACCCGGAAACUGCCGUUGAUACUAUUUGUCUUGAAUAUUGUGGAGGUAAGCGGAAUAUGUCAUGUAGCGGUGAAAUGCUUAGAUAUGACAUAGAACACCAAUUGCGAAGGCAGCUUACUACACAAUCAUUGACGCUGAGGCACGAAAGCGUGGGGAUCAAACA
RNAcentral lists this ribosomal RNA (421 nucleotides) under uncultured bacterium. RNAcentral's name for it is "bacterial SSU rRNA". It matches the Rfam family "Bacterial small subunit ribosomal RNA", at positions 355 to 774 of the family's 1533-position model. The record is from RNAcentral.